CUUCGCCGCAGGGGGCCCGCCCGCUGGCUGGUUUCCGGUCCGGUGGGUGCAAGAUGACGGAGCCGGGCGCCUCUCCCGAGGACCCUUGGGUCAAGGUGGAGUAUGCCUACAGCGACAACAGCCUGGACCCCGAUGACGAGGACAGUGAUUACCACCAGGAGGCCUACAAGGAGUCUUACAAAGACCGGCGGCGGCGCGCACACACUCAGGCUGAGCAGAAGAGGAGGGACGCCAUCAAGAGAGGCUAUGAUGACCUUCAGACCAUCGUCCCCACUUGCCAGCAGCAGGACUUCUCCAUUGGCUCCCAAAAGCUCAGCAAAGCCAUCGUUCUACAAAAGAGUAUGGCUAAGGAAAGCACUGGAGGGGCUGGAGCCAAGAGGGGCUGUGAAGAGGCCAGCGCCUCCUACCCACCCAUGGCUCGGCCUUGGUGUGGUGAUUGCCAUGGGAUAGUUGGGGUCUGGGGGAAGGGGAACAAAGUCAACCUUAUCUUCUGGGUUGAGAAUACUUCUGUACCUGUCCUUUUUUCUUGCCCCCACCCUAGCCAUUGACUACAUUCAGUUUUUGCACAAGGAGAAGAAAAAGCAGGAGGAGGAGGUGUCUACGUUACGCAAGGAUGUCACAGCCCUAAAGAUCAUGAAAGUGAACUAUGAGCAGAUUGUGAAGGCACACCAGGACAACCCCCAUGAAGGGGAGGACCAGGUCUCUGACCAGGUCAAGUUCAACGUGUUUCAAGGCAUCAUGGAUUCCCUGUUCCAGUCCUUCAAUGCCUCCAUCUCAGUGGCCAGCUUCCAGGAGCUGUCAGCCUGUGUCUUCAGCUGGAUUGAGGAGCACUGUAAGCCUCAGACCCUGCGGGAAAUUGUGAUUGGCGUCCUGCACCAAUUGAAAAACCAGCUUUACUGACCGGUUCUUGGAAACCUGCAGAACAGCCAACAAGAGGCCCUUGAAUCUCUACUUGGCCACUGAACUGCUGGGCCCAGGAGAUUGGACUACAACACCUCACACUGGUCAGCUGGUUUCUACUUGGUGUUUGGUUUUCCCAGCCCCAUUUUAUCUUCAGCGGAGCUGCGGUGUUUGUUUUGUGAAAGCUUCUGAUUAAUUUAUUAUAUUGACGAUAAAACUCAAACCUACCCAGCCUUCCCCCCACUCCAUGGAAGUCCUUGGGAUGGGAGUCUGCUCUGGACACCCCAAAGAGGUCCUGCCCUCUCAGCCCUUUCUUCAAGCCUCAGAUUUCUGCUCAUGAGCUACAUAGAUUUGGAAACUGUUUUCCACUGUUUUCCUCUGUUUUGGUCUCUUGGGCAACAUCUGGCCCAAGUUGGGGCAUUUUGGCAGUAGCUGUAUGGGAGAAAAAGAGUAAGAGGAAAUACUCCCCCAGCCAUGAAGGGUGAAAGGGCACCUUGUGCCUAGACUAGGGCUGCCUGGUCAGUUCCAGGUGAGGCCAAGGGCUUUCUGGCCAUCUCAGGGAGGGGCCACCAGGUUCCUCCCCUCACCCCAUAUUCCAUCACCUUCCUCCUCUGCUCUGGGUGAUAAGGGAAGCCCUCCCGGUUCCCACAGGCUGUGAUGCUGCACGGCAGAGGCAGGUGUAACACAGCACUACAUAUUGGAAAUUUUUAAUUUUUCUAAAUACCAAUGCAGUUUUGCUACGGUUACAAUUUUGAAAUAUUAACUGGGCCUCAAAAUCACCCUUUCUGUCAAGCAUAUCUUGGCCUCUCCCAUGUCUCAGUGUUGCCUGCAUUUCUCCCAGGACUUGGGGGUGGGGUGAAAAGCGUACAAAAGAUAUUCAAAAGGGCUCCUGGGGUACACAAGCCCAGCAGGUCCUGAGUGAAGCCGUGGGCCCUCCAAAUGCUCGUUUUAUAGCAACCUCUCUUUACCCUAGUUCUCCAAGUUUACUUCUGCCUUCCUCAGGUUUGAUAUCUGGCAGGUUUGACUAUCCAGAGGAAAUUAAAUAUUUUUAUAUCAAAUUAAAUUAUAAUAAAUAUUGCCAAAUGCUUUCCUUUAGCAUUGUUCCAAGUCUAAAUGUUAACCUCAAGCUACUGCAGUUUAGACAAUGAAAUGGGCUGGGCCUACCCCCAGCCACCAGCCCUCAUCCUCCACCCAGUGCUCUGGUUUAUGCCUGUCUCCUGACUGCUCUGCUUAAAGGUGAAAAGUAGCAGGAACAACAACAAAAGCCAACCAAAAACAAGGUAGCCAGUGCAAGACAUCUCACUCUUCUGACAUCCUGCAGUCCCCACCAGUCCCGACCGUGGGCCCCUCAGGGGUCUGGGAGUGUGACGUUGUAAUCUUCAUCCGUCUCUAUCCCAACUUCCUCCUGUGGGACAGGGAGACAAGUGAAUGAGACGUCACCAGGAUAAGACCACAGGGAAGCAAAGAAAGAAGAGAGUACCACUUACAAAGAACUGCUUCUUGCUCUUGGGGUAUCCUUCAAGUAUUGCAUCAGACAGCUCUGUAGCCUGACAAGAAAUAAAACCACCCGUUUUCAGAUGGGCAGCACUGGGCACUGCCUGUCAGUUUAUGAUACUGUGU
This 2520-nucleotide small RNA is filed under the name Pongo abelii (Sumatran orangutan). RNAcentral describes it as "retained intron". The record is from RNAcentral. Lineage: Eukaryota; Metazoa; Chordata; Mammalia; Primates; Hominidae.